CGAAGGGGGCUAGCGUUGUUCGGAGUUACUGGGCGUAAAGGGCGCGUAGGCGGCCCUCCAAGUCGGGCGUGAAAGCCCACGGCUCAACCGUGGAAUUGCACUCGAGACUGAAGGGCUCGAGGACGGGAGAGGAUGGUGGAAUUCCCAGUGUAGAGGUGAAAUUCGUAGAUAUUGGGAAGAACACCGGUGGCGAAGGCGGCCAUCUGGACCGUAUCUGACGCUGAGGCGCGAAAGCGUGGGGAGCAAACAGGAUUAGAUACCCUGGUAGUCCACGCCGUAAACGAUGAGUGCUAGACGUUGGGGAACCUAGUUCUUCGGUGUCGCAGCUAACGCAUUAAGCACUCCGCCUGGGGAUACGGCCGCAAGGUUA
RNAcentral lists this ribosomal RNA (370 nucleotides) under uncultured organism. RNAcentral's name for it is "bacterial SSU rRNA". It matches the Rfam family "Bacterial small subunit ribosomal RNA", at positions 526 to 896 of the family's 1533-position model. The record is from RNAcentral.